AACCAACUGGGAUUACCUUAGUAACGGCGAGUGAAGCGGUAAAAGCUCAAAUUUGAAAUCUGGUACUUUCAGUGCCCGAGUUGUAAUUUGUAGAAUUUGUCUUUGAUUAGGUCCUUGUCUAUGUUCCUUGGAACAGGACGUCAUAGAGGGUGAGAAUCCCGUUUGGCGAGGAUACCUUUUCUCUGUAAGACUUUUUCGAAGAGUCGAGUUGUUUGGGAAUGCAGCUCAAAGUGGGUGGUAAAUUCCAUCUAAAGCUAAAUAUUGGCGAGAGACCGAUAGCGAACAAGUACAGUGAUGGAAAGAUGAAAAGAACUUUGAAAAGAGAGUGAAAAAGUACGUGAAAUUGUUGAAAGGGAAGGGCAUUUGAUCAGACAUGGUGUUUUUUUAAUGUGCAAGUCUCUCGUGGACAUGUGCCUCUGGAAAUUAACACUGGGCCAACAUCAGUUCUGGCGGCAGGAUAAAUCAUUAAGAAUGUAGCUACCUCGGUAGUGUUAUAGCUUUUUGGAAUACUGUCAGCUGGGAUUGAGGACUGCGCUUCGGCAAGGAUGUUGGCAUAAUGGUUAAAUGCCGC
This 571-nucleotide ribosomal RNA is filed under the name Hanseniaspora sp. ED20. RNAcentral's name for it is "eukaryotic LSU rRNA". It matches the Rfam family "Eukaryotic large subunit ribosomal RNA", at positions 63 to 648 of the family's 3401-position model. Lineage: Eukaryota; Fungi; Ascomycota; Saccharomycetes; Saccharomycodales; Saccharomycodaceae. The record is from RNAcentral.